Molecule: ribosomal RNA, 532 nt
Filed under: Aspergillus versicolor
Lineage: Eukaryota; Fungi; Ascomycota; Eurotiomycetes; Eurotiales; Aspergillaceae
Description: SSU rRNA
Rfam family: Bacterial small subunit ribosomal RNA
Source: RNAcentral
GCCGAAAGGCUGAACCAGUAACUUGGAAGAAUGAAAGUGUAUUAUAAUAAUACAAUAACGAUUAAGUCGUAUAAAAUUCUAAAUAGAAUAAUGAUAAUGACAAUUUUCUAUUUAUAAGUCUUGACCAAACUACGUGCCAGCAGUCGCGGUAAUACGUAGAAGACUAGUGUUAAUCAUCUUUAUUAGGUUUAAAGGGUACCUAGACGGUAAAUUAAACUCUAAAUGAGUACUUGUUUACUAGAGUUUUAUGAAAGGAGGAAGAAUUUCUGGAGUAGUGAUUUAAUAUGAAUAAUCUCAGAGAGACUGGUAACGGCGAAGGCAUCCUUCUAUGUAAAAACUGACGUUGAGGGACGAAGGCUUGGGUAACGAGAAGGAUUAGAUACCCUAGUAGUCCAAGCAGACAAUGAUGAAUGUCAUAGACUAGAUAUAAAUUUAGUCUAUAAAUGAAAGUGUAAGCAUUCCACCUCAAGAGUAAUAUGGCAACAUAUAAACUGAAAUCAUUAGACCGUUUCUGAGACCAGUAGUGAAGUAU